CUCGUUUGGUUGUCCAUCGACAUUGCGAAGAUCUCUCACAAAAUCGGGCACCUUACCGAGCUCCAGAAUAUUUGGAGCCGGUUGAACAAAACUCUGGCUGCCGUUGAACAUUUUUUCACUUCGACACUGUCACUUUGCACCACACACUUUGAAUACUUACAAAAUAAUACUCACAAAAACACUAUUGUUGCUUACCAACGCUGAUUUUCGUCGUGCUCCGUCGGUGAUGCUCCGUUGUAACUCGUUGGUGAUACUCCGUUCGGGGGAAGGUUAGGCAGCUGGUGGAGGGGAAUCCUUUUUACCGGUCCGGUUACUAGGGGUCUCGUACAGCGAUCGGGUGAUAACCACAGUGUCCCAAGCUUCGCUUCGCUCUUUUGCAGUAGUGGCUCUUUGGACCACUGUUUCAGAGAGUAUUGCUCUCUGAGGCCGCAAAUACACGACGCGCGUUUUCCGCGCCCGCGUUCAAACGCGUAUAACAGUAGAACAGUUCCGCAGAGAUGUCCAGCAUGAACAUUUCUGCGUUUCCGCGGUAGCGCGUUCGAAUGACAUUUCAUCAUUGUUUACAUUUUGGCCGGUAAAACGUUGUUUAUUGUAUUUGCGUGAAAUUUACGAUAAAAACACAAAAAUGGGUAAUAAAGGAGUGAUAUAAUGUAUAUUUGGAGAUAUAUAACCCCAGUUUUCUAUUUUUAGAUUAUAUGCCAGACAAAAAAAAGAGGAAGAAGGUAUGUAUACAAAUACAGUAUGAAUUUUUCGAUGACGAAAAACCACCGCUUGAUUACGCUGACAACGUAUUGUAUGUUGAUCAUCUGGAAGCGAUUGAGAUCGAUCUAGACGGGGAAAAAGACGGCAACGUGUACGAUUGCGAGGUUUUGCGAGCCACGAUUGGUUUACAAUCACGAAAAUGUGGUACAGCACGGGUUCAUCGCUAAUCGUUUCCCAUCAUAUGUUCUCAAGCAGCUUCAUUAGGGCUUGUGGCAUCUACUCCAGCGAACCGAGAUAGCCACGUCUGUGUUGUUGGUACUUGCGACCCGUAAUAUCACCAUGGUCGCGUAUAAUUUUUUGUUUGUCCUCCGCCGGCAUGUAUUUCAUUAGCGCAGAAUCAAACAAUUUUGAUUUUUCCACAUGCACGCCGGCAAGAGCGAUUACCACUACCUUACUCCAAGCUACACUCAUUGGUCACAGUGGCUUUCGAACGCCUUUUGAGGAAAAUUAGCAUUUUACUGGUAUAAGCCUAAGUUAAACUUUGCAAAAACUUUUCAUCACUGCUUAGUUUGAUCCUGCAAUGGAUCUACCAGGCGAACAUAUACUUCAUUAAAAAUUUCCUUACUAGAAGAGCUUAGGUAUUACCUUGGCAAAGAGGCCUUGCCUUAAGAUACGUGAUGGUUUUAUUUAUGCUCAGUGAGGGUUGUAUGUUUCAAAGUUAUCAUUUUUAUCUUGUUAUCUUUUGUUAGCAUGAAUGUUGACUUUUGUAACUCUUGUAGGUUAUACUGUUUAAACUGCUCCUGCAUUGGCGUGCUUUGCAUAAAUAGUUUCAACUGUUAAAUAUUUGAUUAUCUUUACCUACGCUGCGCUUUAAUUGUGUUUGAGAAAUGAUUUCUUAUUUAUGCAGAUAUGCUACAAUACUUUCCAAUGCGUCGUAAAAUACAAUCAUAACUGAACCAACAUUUUCUUGCAAAAAUAUUUUCUUUUCAGAACAUCCAUAUGAGUGAGGAAAUUACUCUUGUGUUUGUAGACCUUGUGUUCCGGCAUGAAGCUAUUUGGAACCGGAAACACAAGGAUUACAAAGAUAUUAAUCGUCGGAACGACGAUUGGUGCAGCAUAGCUGACCAAGUGGGAUUGCCAGUCAAUGUGUUGAAGGACAAGUGGGCAUCACUCCAGUCUACAUAUAGAAAGUGCCGAUCAACAUAUAACAAGAGUCUGGUAACUGGUUCUGGAGCUGAUGAAAUUGACAACCCCACUUGGUUUGCCUAUAGUGCGAUGCGGUUUCUCGAUGGAACAACCGAUUGUGGUAAAACGUUGAAUACCGUAAGUAAAUAUAUACAUUCGGUCCGCGUUGGUUGAACUUUGAUAUCAUAUCAAUAAUUUUAUUUGUGUUUUUAUAUGGAAAAAGCACAAGUUUAAUAGUUGACACGCAAUCUAAGUUCUAUCAGCGAGUUCAAACUAUUUAUGUUUUAUUUUAUAUCCAUGGUUAUAUUAUUCUAUAAGCUCUUCACAUCAUUUUAAACGAACGUAUUACCGAUAGUAUAAGGUAAAAAAGAUAAUAAAACUAAUAAUAUUGUUUUCCGCAAA
Anopheles gambiae (African malaria mosquito) is the source of this 2289-nucleotide long non-coding RNA. RefSeq lists it as uncharacterized. NCBI's taxonomy places the organism in Eukaryota, Metazoa, Arthropoda, Insecta, Diptera, Culicidae. The record is from RefSeq and is a predicted model, not a curated record. The transcript has 2 exons.